This 397-nucleotide ribosomal RNA is filed under the name uncultured soil bacterium. Its description in RNAcentral is "bacterial SSU rRNA". It matches the Rfam family "Bacterial small subunit ribosomal RNA", at positions 26 to 418 of the family's 1533-position model. The record is from RNAcentral.
AGAUUGAACGCUGGCGGCAGGCCUAACACAUGCAAGUCGAGCGGCAGCACGGGUACUUGUACCUGGUGGCGAGCGGCGGACGGGUGAGUAAUGCCUAGGAAUCUGCCUGAUAGGUGGGGGGUAACGUUCGGAAACGGACGCUAAUACCGCAUACGUCCUACGGGAGAAAGUGGGGGAUCUUCGGACCUCACGCUAUCAGAUGAGUCCUAGGUCGGAUUAGCUAGUUGGUAGGUAAGGCCUACCAAGGCUACGAUCCGUAACUGGUCUGAGAGGAUGAUCAGUCACACUGGAACUGAGACACGGUCCAGACCUCCGUACGGGAGCAGCAGGUGGGAAUGUGGACAAGUCGGACGAAAGCCUAGAUCCAGCCAUCGCCGCGUGUGUGGAAGUAGGUCUA